UGGGGAAUAUUGCACAAUGGGGGAAACCCUGAUGCAGCGACGCCGCGUGAGUGUAAGAAGUAAUUCGUUAUGUAAAGCUCUAUCGGCAGAGAAGAAAAUGACGGUACCUGACUAAGAAGCCCCGGCUAACUACGUGCCAGCAGCCGCGGUAAUACGUAGGUGGCAAGCGUUGUCCGGAAUUACUGGGUGUAAAGGGAGCGCAGGCGGGGGAGCAAGUCAGCUGUGAAAUCUAUGGGCUUAACCCAUAAACUGCAGUUGAAACUGUUCUUCUUGAGUGAAGUAGAGGUUGGCGGAAUUCCGAGUGUAGCGGUGAAAUGCGUAGAUAUUCGGAGGAACACCGGUGGCGAAGGCGGCCAACUGGGGCUUUUACUGACGCUGAGGCUCGAAAGUGUGGGGAGCAAACAGGAUUAGAUACCCUGGUAGU
Molecule: ribosomal RNA, 424 nt
Filed under: uncultured Eubacterium sp.
Lineage: Bacteria; Bacillati; Bacillota; Clostridia; Eubacteriales; Eubacteriaceae
Description: bacterial SSU rRNA
Rfam family: Bacterial small subunit ribosomal RNA
Source: RNAcentral